UGUACACAUAUCUAUAUGUGUAUAUACAUAUAUAUAAAACAAGCUCGUAUUUUAUCUUUGUUACCUUUUCUCAAUAAUGAGAAAAAAUUUGAAAGAACUGAGUCGACCGCUAGAACUACCGGUCUUAAAACCAGAAAUAAAUAGGCUUAUUCUUUGUUCACUUGAAUUAGAAUUCCAAUCAGAACUCAAACACAGAUUGUUGUUUUGUUCGACAAAUCCAAGAAUCCAGAGACAGGAUUUGAACACGUG
This 249-nucleotide long non-coding RNA is filed under the name Olea europaea subsp. europaea. Lineage: Eukaryota; Viridiplantae; Streptophyta; Magnoliopsida; Lamiales; Oleaceae. The record is from RNAcentral.